Molecule: long non-coding RNA, 550 nt
Organism: Helianthus annuus (common sunflower)
Lineage: Eukaryota; Viridiplantae; Streptophyta; Magnoliopsida; Asterales; Asteraceae
Exons: 2
Source: RefSeq, a predicted model, not a curated record
UACACCACCCCUCUCUCUCUCCCUCUACCCUUUCUUCCCCAUCCAAAUCCCCUGCAAUUUGAUAACCAAAUCAAAAUCCCCUCUUCACACACACCCCUUUCUUUCUCAAAACACACAGAGUAGUCAUCACCACCGCCAUUUUUCUGGAGUAGUCACCACCACCUUCAUUUUUCCGGCGACAUCCAGUCACCACCACCAAUUUUCGCCGCCAGAAACAUAGGGUUUGUUUGGAUAAAAUCCUAUCUCUCUCCUCCAUCAUAUUCGCCAUGGCAUUCAGAUCAACUUAAAUAAUUAUCAUUUCAUCAAGUAAUCACAAGCUUAUCCUGAUACGUUUCCCCAAAUCUUCUUCCCGACAUGUUUCAGGCGGCCGGAAAUCGUGGUGGUGACCAGCUUUAAGAGAGAGAGAGAUGGAGAAGAUAAAGGUAGAGAAAGAUGGAGAAAAGAGAGCUGAGGGAGAGAUACUUGGUGUUUAUUUAUUUAUUGGAGAAGAUGGUAUUUUUUAUUAAUGAACAUUUUAAAUAAAAACAAGAAAUGACUAUAAUACCCUUAA